GAGGCAAAUAGGGGUGGCGUGGAACUCUUGGUGGAGCGGUGGAAUGCGUAGAUAUCAAGGGGAACGCCAGUGGUGAAAACGACGCACUAGGUUUGUCCUGACGCUGAGACACGAAAGCGUGGGUAGCGAACGGGAUUAGAUACCCCGGUAGUCCACGCCGUAAACGAUGUCUACUAGAUUGCGGAUGUUCUGACACAUUCGCGAUCGAAGCAAAAGUGUUAAGUAGACCACCUGGGGAGUACGGUCGCAAGGCUAAAACUCAAAGGAAUUGACGGGGGCUCACACAAGCGGUGGAGCAUGUGGAUUAAUUCGAAGCAACGCGAAGGACCUUACCUGGGUUUGACAUGUUUGGAUGCCUAUCUAGAAACAGAUUUUGGCUGCCCUUCGGGGUGAAACUUACACAGGUGCUGCAUGGCUGUCGUCAGUUCGUGUCGUGAGACGUCGGGUUAAGUCCUUCAACGAGCGAAACCCUUGCCGUUAGUUACCAGCGAGUAAUGUCGGGGACUCUAACGGGACUGCCGGUGUUAAACCGGAGGAAGGCAGGGACGACGUCAAGUCAUCAUGGCCUUUAUGCCCAGGGCUUCACACGUGCUACAAUGGCGGUUACAGAGGGAAGCGAUAUCGCGAGAUGGAGCAAAUCUCUUAAAGGCCGUCCCAGUACGGAUCGCAGGCUGCAACUCGGCUCGUGAAGGCGGAAUCGCUAGUAAUCG
Molecule: ribosomal RNA, 710 nt
Filed under: uncultured bacterium
Lineage: Bacteria
Description: bacterial SSU rRNA
Rfam family: Bacterial small subunit ribosomal RNA
Source: RNAcentral